CCACCUAUGCAUUGGGGCUUCUUUUAAUUAAUACAAAAUUGAGGUUACAUCUUUUCAAAUGUUCCUCAAUUAAUAUAUAAGGGAUUAUCACAUUAACAUCUACAACAUAUGUUAUGUAUCUUCUUCGGCCUAUUCUUAUUUUUCUUGUUAUCAUUUCGUUAUUUUUUAUUAAUUUUUUGCCAAUGUUUUCCUAAUUUUUUUUACAUAUUUUGAUUUACUAAUAAAUUUGAUUUCAUAAUGUAUUUGAAUGGAUUUGUAUGAAUUUCAAUACAUAUUUUGAUGGAUUUGAAAAUCCAAACUAAAUAUAUUGUUAUUGGUCUAUGAUUUUAAAAUAUGUAUUGAAUUCAUGUGUUAUUCGUUUAAUUAUUCAUAAAUUCUAAUUCAAAUCAAAUGUUAUUUUAACAUACGGAUUUACUAAUAGAUUUGAUUUUAUAAUGUAUUUGAAUGGAUUUGCA
Molecule: long non-coding RNA, 455 nt
Filed under: Brassica rapa (field mustard)
Lineage: Eukaryota; Viridiplantae; Streptophyta; Magnoliopsida; Brassicales; Brassicaceae
Description: long non-coding RNA (BRAP_LNC007453)
Source: RNAcentral